RNAcentral lists this ribosomal RNA (489 nucleotides) under uncultured Fusibacter sp. RNAcentral's name for it is "bacterial SSU rRNA". It matches the Rfam family "Bacterial small subunit ribosomal RNA", at positions 897 to 1382 of the family's 1533-position model. The record is from RNAcentral. Lineage: Bacteria; Bacillati; Bacillota; Clostridia; Eubacteriales; Fusibacteraceae.
AAACUCAAAGGAAUUGACGGGGGCCCGCACAAGCGGUGGAGUAUGUGGUUUAAUUCGAUGCAACGCGAAGAACCUUACCUAGGCUUGACAUCCUGGGAAUCCUGCAGAGAUGCGGGAGUGCCCUUCGGGGAAUCCAGAGACAGGUGGUGCAUGGUUGUCGUCAGCUCGUGUCGUGAGAUGUUGGGUUAAGUCCCGCAACGAGCGCAACCCUUGUGUUUUAGUUGCAAACAGGUCAAGCUGUGCACUCUAGACAGACUGCCGUGGACAACACGGAGGAAGGUGGGGAUGACGUCAAAUCAUCAUGCCCCUUAUGAUCUGGGCUACACACGUGCUACAAUGGCCGGUACAACGGGCAGCGAAGGAGCGAUCCGGAGCGAAUCCUAAAAAGCCGGUCCCAGUUCGGAUUGCAGGCUGAAACUCGCCUACAUGAAGUUGGAGUUGCUAGUAAUCGCGAAUCAGAAUGUCGCGGUGAAUGCGUUCCCGGGUCUU